This 456-nucleotide long non-coding RNA is filed under the name Salmo trutta (river trout). RNAcentral's name for it is "lncRNA (ENSSTUG00000038735.1)". Lineage: Eukaryota; Metazoa; Chordata; Actinopteri; Salmoniformes; Salmonidae. The record is from RNAcentral.
UUCUGAAUUUACUUAAUCCUUGUGGGUAUAUGUUGUAUUGUUCAUUGUAUUGUUUUCUCCCCAGGUUUCCCUGGACCCCAGGGACAACCUGGAGGUCCAGGACCAGAAGGGGACAGUGGACUUCCAGGGCCCCAAGGUCCAGAGGGCCCCGAGGGGCAACCGGGUCCAAAAGGUGAGGCUGGCGUUCCAGGUGCUCCAGGAAUCCCUGGCUACUCCAGUGGUGGAUCAUCCAGGAGUUCCCCUGGAGCACCAGGUCCACCUGGACCUCCCGGGGAACCCGGCCGUGAUGGGCCACCUGGGUCUGGGGAUGGAACACCGGACGUCCGUCAAUACAUCACAGAAUACCUCAAGAGCGAUGGUGUCAGGGAGUACAUGUCGGGUCCUCCGGGUCCUCCGGGCGUACCGGGGCCCCCUGGUGGUGGAUCAGUGGAGUCAGUGGAUGACCUUGCUAGUCGC